RNAcentral lists this transfer RNA (75 nucleotides) under Kitasatospora sp. Root107. Its description in RNAcentral is "tRNA-Gly". It matches the Rfam family "tRNA". Rfam says of the family: Transfer RNA (tRNA) molecules are approximately 80 nucleotides in length. The record is from RNAcentral. RNAcentral also lists the same sequence under 1 other name. Lineage: Bacteria; Bacillati; Actinomycetota; Actinomycetes; Kitasatosporales; Streptomycetaceae.
GGUCCCGUAGCGCAGAGGCAGGCGCGCCGCCUUGCCAAGGCGGGUACGCCGGUUCGAAUCCGGCCGGGACCCCGA